CUCAAAUGGAACACCAGGGACAACCGGAGGCAUGGGGUGGGAGUUGCUUGGCGGGGGUUUGGAGGGCCGGGGUCACGAGGGGGAGUUAAUGCUGUUUAUCAGGAUCACAGGGAGGCUUUGGGAGACUGGGAUGCAGUCAAUUUAACACAUGGGGACACACACUGAAGAACCUGGAAGUUCUGGUUUCCCUUAUGCCCUCUGUAGGUCUUCUCUGCUCUGCCUGUAUUAACACUGGUUGGGCCUGGAACUGAGACGGCUCGCACAGGGUAACAAGACAUUUUUGGAACACAGCGGUCCACAGAUGCUCCCCAAAGAGCCGGAUAAGCUCCUCUAUCACAGAAGACAUAAGCACCCACUUCAUUCUUCCUGUACUUGGAGAGGAGAAUGCAAAUGAGCGGGCUGUUCUCUGUAAAUAAACAAGAGCUGAAUAAGGCCUCCCAAUUCAGCAAUUCAUUCAGGAAACUCACCUCAGCUGCCUAAUGAGCUGGCUAAUUUGUCUCAGAUUCAGUUUUACGAGAUGCAGCCGUGUUUGUGUUUAUAUGAUAGCGCUUGUUUGGAUAGGGAAGGGGGGGUGGGUAGAGUGUUGAGAAGGCUGAUCAUCAUUCUACACACCAGCUGGAAACCAGUAGGAGCUGGACAAUCCUCUCUUCUCCUCAUCCUCCCUCUCAGCACAGUUGCCCAACUGCGGGCCGUAUAUCCGCCAGCUCUCUGCCGAUGUGGAAGGCAGUCAUUACGGGAACAAGUGAUUUCUCUUUCAGCCCGGUUCAUGGGUCAAUUGCUCUCUCCCUUUCUAUUUCAUGGCAGAGUUGGUGGGAUUGAAGCUCUCCUCUAACCUGAGCUCCUCAUUCCCACGCAUUCUUUGGGGCUAUUGAAUCCUCCAGAGCCUCACAGUUUGCACUUGUGCUUUUGCAGCAUUGUGUUUUACUUUAUUGAUCCUAACGAGGCGCCGAUUUGUGUCAUCCGAACAGUCCGGGUCCCCUGUUUGCCCAGAUUUAUGUGCCCUGCCUUCGGUGAAAAUCCCUUCCCAGUAAAAACUUUAACACCCCUUGCUGUCCUCUUAUUGAAUAACUGUCAGCUGUCUUUUGAUGACAGAGUUUCGGGCUUUACUCCUGUCUGCUGCCGCAGAGGUCUCAUCACACAAAGCCUCAAUAAAGGCAAAUACAUAACUGGCCACGAGAAAGCAUGACCCCAUCUAUUUUUUGGUGUAUAUGUAGUCAAUAUGACAAAGCAUAAUAUUUAUUUAAUGAGGGCUGGGGCAGUCCAGCAUCCAGGGCUUUUACAUUUUUACAGCCAGUAUCUUUCAAACAACAGAUGGUUUACUCAAUUUUUAUAUGGAGAAUUUUAUGGUGUUUCUGCUCUAUUUGAUUUGAAACUACAGGAACAGAAACAAAAACAGGAGAUAAAAAUGAUCUAAGCGAUACACUUGAUGUAAAUGAAACAACGGUGGUGCUUUUUAGAAACCCAUCAAUGUUAAUAUUUGGGGCUUUUCUGUUUUUUCUGCACCAUAAAACGCAAUAAAAGUACAAAUAUUUA
This is a long non-coding RNA of Siniperca chuatsi (mandarin fish), 1533 nucleotides long. RefSeq lists it as uncharacterized. NCBI's taxonomy places the organism in Eukaryota, Metazoa, Chordata, Actinopteri, Centrarchiformes, Sinipercidae. The record is from RefSeq and is a predicted model, not a curated record. The transcript has 2 exons.